UAUAAAGAUUAUAAUCUGCUUGGAAAUGCCUAAAAUGUAAGACAAACGAAUUCCUUUGCGAAUUUACGUUAAACCCAAAGAAACAUACAGAAAUACGUUCAUGGGCUGGUUUAGGCUCACUCCGUUCUUUGUGUUGCUUUUUUCUAUAAUCAGUUUUGCAUGUCAAGAAAGCAGCUGCACUGAAGCCAGGGCAGGGCCAGCCCCCUUCCUAUCUCCUCAACAAGGUGAACUCCACUUUUCUCCUAACAAUCAAAAAAUUAAUUCUCAAAAUCAUUCCCAAAUAGACUCCUAGUGAAACAACAUGCUAUACUCAAAUGUAACUUCUUAAUUUUAGAAACAGCCUUCGAAUUUUCGGAAGUCUGCCUAAUGGGUUCUUAGUUGUGUGCUGGCUCAAUCAAUUUGACACCUUGGCUUAAUCGUGUCUAUUUUCUUUGUUCCAUCUAAUUGUUCAUUUUAUAGAAGUUAGUUUGUAAAAUUGAUCAUGGGCCUAACCAAAUUGACACCUCCACUUAAUUAUGACGAUUUUAUUUAGUUCAUUUGAGGGUCGUGUUCGUUUUAUAGUAAUCAGUUUAAUUUGUAAAAUUGAUUAGUAGAAGACUCGAAGGUUUUUUCCACUCUUGGGGUGGUUUGCCGGUGUUGUGAUGGUGGAGGAAGCUCCAAUGGUGGUGGAGAAUGUACAAAUUCAUGGGUCGGGUCUUGCUCCAAUCUCCACUGUCUUCCAUGGAAAUUACACUAGCAAAAUUGUUGCUUUAAGGUCUCUUUUUGUACAGUUAUAGACUACAAAUAUAUCAUUUCCAACGGUUGCAAAGUCUGUAUAAUUUUUUGUAUUACUUGAUGAACGUAUUAACUGCUGGAAUGUGGAAGUGAAAUUAUUUAGAAAUUAAAAAUUUCGUUAAUUCAAUAAACAAGAUCAUUUAGAUGUUUA
This is a long non-coding RNA of Olea europaea var. sylvestris, 925 nucleotides long. RefSeq lists it as uncharacterized. The transcript is spliced from 2 exons. The record is from RefSeq and is a predicted model, not a curated record. NCBI's taxonomy places the organism in Eukaryota, Viridiplantae, Streptophyta, Magnoliopsida, Lamiales, Oleaceae.